Molecule: transfer RNA, 56 nt
Filed under: Schizosaccharomyces japonicus yFS275
Lineage: Eukaryota; Fungi; Ascomycota; Schizosaccharomycetes; Schizosaccharomycetales; Schizosaccharomycetaceae
Rfam family: tRNA
About the family: Transfer RNA (tRNA) molecules are approximately 80 nucleotides in length. Their secondary structure includes four short double-helical elements and three loops (D, anti-codon, and T loops).
Source: Rfam by way of RNAcentral
GCCCCUAUGGCUUAGUGGUACAGCAUCGCACUUGUAAUGCGAAGAUCCUUGGGGCA